Molecule: ribosomal RNA, 471 nt
Filed under: uncultured eukaryote
Lineage: Eukaryota
Description: SSU rRNA
Rfam family: Eukaryotic small subunit ribosomal RNA
Source: RNAcentral
CUGACUUUUUCGGAAAGGUUGUAUUUAUUAGAUAUCAAACCAAUAAUCUUUCGGGAUUAUUGUGAUGAUUCAUAAUAACUGAUCGGAUCAAGGUGUACCUUGAUAGAUCAUUCAAGUUUCUGCCCUAUCAGCUUUCGAUGGUAGUGUAUUGGACUACCAUGGCAGUCACGGGUAACGGAGAAUUAGGGUUCGAUUCCGGAGAGGGAGCCUGAGAAACGGCUACCACAUCUACGGAAGGCAGCAGGCGCGUAAAUUACCCAAUCCUGAUUCAGGGAGGUAGUGACAAGAAAUAACAACUCGGGGCCUCACGGCUUACGAGAUUGCAAUGAGAACAAUUUAAAUCUCUUAGCGAGGAACAAUUGGAGGGCAAGUCUGGUGCCAGCAGCCGCGGUAAUUCCAGCUCCAAUAGCGUAUAUUAAAGUUGUUGUCAGUUAAAAAGCUACGUAGUUGAAUUUCUGAUUAUGGAUGUAG